This 72-nucleotide transfer RNA is filed under the name Camelus bactrianus (Bactrian camel). It matches the Rfam family "tRNA". From Rfam's summary of the family: Transfer RNA (tRNA) molecules are approximately 80 nucleotides in length. Their secondary structure includes four short double-helical elements and three loops (D, anti-codon, and T loops). The record is from Rfam by way of RNAcentral. RNAcentral also lists the same sequence under 1 other name. Lineage: Eukaryota; Metazoa; Chordata; Mammalia; Artiodactyla; Camelidae.
GAGGAUAUAGCUCAAUGGCAGAGCUGUUGCUUAGCACGCACAAGGUUCUGGGUUCAAUCCCCAAUACCUCCA